UACGUAGGGUGCGAGCGUUAAUCGGAUUUACUGGGCGUAAAGUGUGCGCAGGCGGCGCCGCAUGUCGAGUGUGAAAGCCCUGAGCUUAACUUGGGAAUUGCGCUCGAAACUACGGUGCUGGAGUGUGGCAGAGGAAGGUGGAAUUCCACGUGUAGCGGUGAAAUGCGUAGAGAUGUGGAGGAACACCGAUGGCGAAGGCAGCCUUCUGGGCCAACACUGACGCUCAUGCACGAAAGCGUGGGGAGCAAACAGG
RNAcentral lists this ribosomal RNA (253 nucleotides) under uncultured bacterium. RNAcentral describes it as "partial 16S ribosomal RNA". It matches the Rfam family "Bacterial small subunit ribosomal RNA", at positions 524 to 776 of the family's 1533-position model. The record is from RNAcentral.